UACAGAGGGUGCGAGCGUUAAUCGGAAUUACUGGGCGUAAAGCGCACGUAAGCGGCUUGGUAUGUCGGGUGUGAAAUCCCCGGGCUCAACCUGGGAACUGCAUCCGAAACUGUAUAGCUAGAGUACGGUAGAGGGGGAUGGAAUUCCGCGUGUAGCAGUGAAAUGCGUAGAUAUGCGGAGGAACACCGAUGGCGAAGGCAAUCCCCUGGACCUGUACUGACGCUCAUGCACGAAAGCGUGGGGAGCAAACAGGAUUAGAUACCCGGGUAGU
Molecule: ribosomal RNA, 271 nt
Filed under: uncultured bacterium
Lineage: Bacteria
Description: partial 16S ribosomal RNA
Rfam family: Bacterial small subunit ribosomal RNA
Source: RNAcentral